RNAcentral lists this transfer RNA (61 nucleotides) under Neotoma lepida (desert woodrat). It matches the Rfam family "tRNA", at positions 6 to 65 of the family's 71-position model. Rfam says of the family: Transfer RNA (tRNA) molecules are approximately 80 nucleotides in length. Their secondary structure includes four short double-helical elements and three loops (D, anti-codon, and T loops). The record is from Rfam by way of RNAcentral. Lineage: Eukaryota; Metazoa; Chordata; Mammalia; Rodentia; Cricetidae.
UGUAGCUCAGCUGGUUGAGAGCUUGCUUGGCAUGCAGGAAGCCUAGGUUCAUUCCCUAGCA